AUGCAGUCGAGCGGUAACAGGGGUAGCUUGCUACCCGCUGACGAGCGGCGGACGGGUGAGUAAUGCAUAGGAAUCUGCCCGAUAGUGGGGGAUAACCUGGGGAAACCCAGGCUAAUACCGCAUACGUCCUACGGGAGAAAGGGGGCUCCGGCUCCCGCUAUUGGAUGAGCCUAUGUCGGAUUAGCUAGUUGGUGAGGUAAUGGCUCACCAAGGCAACGAUCCGUAGCUGGUCUGAGAGGAUGAUCAGCCACAUCGGGACUGAGACACGGCCCGAACUCCUACGGGAGGCAGCAGUGGGGAAUAUUGGACAAUGGGCGAAAGCCUGAUCCAGCCAUGCCGCGUGUGUGAAGAAGGCCCUCGGGUUGUAAAGCACUUUCAGCGAGGAAGAACGCCUAGUGGUUAAUACCCAUUAGGAAAGACAUCACUCGCAGAAGAAGCACCGGCUAACUCCGUGCCAGCAGCCGCGGUAAUACGGAGGGUGCAAGCGUUAAUCGGAAUUACUGGGCGUAAAGCGCGCGUAGGUGGCUUGAUAAGCCGGUUGUGAAAGCCCCGGGCUCAACCUGGGAACGGCAUCCGGAACUGUCAAGCUAGAGUGCAGGAGAGGAAGGUAGAAUUCCCGGUGUAGCGGUGAAAUGCGUAGAGAUCGGGAGGAAUACCAGUGGCGAAGGCGGCCUUCUGGACUGACACUGACACUGAGGUGCGAAAGCGUGGGUAGCAAACAGGAUUAGAUACCCUGGUAGUCCACGCCGUAAACGAUGUCGACCAGCCGUUGGGUGCCUAGCGCACUUUGUGGCGAAGUUAACGCGAUAAGUCGACCGCCUGGGGGAGUACGGCCGCAAGGUUAAAACUCAAAUGAAUUGACGGGGGGCCCGCACAAGCGGUGGAGCAUGUGGGUUUAAUUCGAUGCAACGCGAAGAACCUUACCUACUCUUGACAUCCUUGCGAACUUUGUGAGAGAUCACUUUGGUGCCUUCGGGAACGC
Molecule: ribosomal RNA, 982 nt
Filed under: Halomonas campaniensis
Lineage: Bacteria; Pseudomonadati; Pseudomonadota; Gammaproteobacteria; Oceanospirillales; Halomonadaceae
Description: bacterial SSU rRNA
Rfam family: Bacterial small subunit ribosomal RNA
Source: RNAcentral